GAGGAUAUAGCUUAGUGGUAGAGUGCUUGCUUAGCAUGCACAAGGUCCUGGGUUUAAUCCCUAGUACUUCU
RNAcentral lists this transfer RNA (71 nucleotides) under Camelus bactrianus (Bactrian camel). It matches the Rfam family "tRNA". From Rfam's summary of the family: Transfer RNA (tRNA) molecules are approximately 80 nucleotides in length. Lineage: Eukaryota; Metazoa; Chordata; Mammalia; Artiodactyla; Camelidae. The record is from Rfam by way of RNAcentral. RNAcentral also lists the same sequence under 3 other names.